UACGGAGGGUGCAAGCGUUAUCCGGAUUUAUUGGGUUUAAAGGGUCCGUAGGCGGAUUAAUAAGUCAGUGGUGAAAGCCCGCAGCUUAACUGUGGAACUGCCAUUGAUACUGUUAGUCUUGAGUGUAGUUGAAGUGGCUGGAAUGAGUAGUGUAGCGGUGAAAUGCAUAGAUAUUACUCAGAACACCAAUUGCGAAGGCAGGUCACUAAGUUACAACUGACGCUGAUGGACGAAAGCGUGGGGAGCGAACAGG
Molecule: ribosomal RNA, 253 nt
Filed under: uncultured bacterium
Lineage: Bacteria
Description: partial 16S ribosomal RNA
Rfam family: Bacterial small subunit ribosomal RNA
Source: RNAcentral